UACGUAGGUGGCAAGCGUUGUCCGGAUUUAUUGGGUUUAAAGGGCGCGUAGGCGGGCUGUCAAGUCUGGGGUGAAAUACCGCGGCUCAACCGUGGAACUGCCUUAGAUACUGACGGCCUCGAGGGAGGUAGGGGCGUGCGGAACUGUAGGUGGAGCGGUGAAAUGCGUUGAUAUCUACAGGAACUCCGGUGGCGAAAGCGGCGCGCUGGACCUCUUCUGACGCUGAGGCGCGAAAGCUAGGGGAGCAAACGGG
Molecule: ribosomal RNA, 253 nt
Filed under: uncultured bacterium
Lineage: Bacteria
Description: partial 16S ribosomal RNA
Rfam family: Bacterial small subunit ribosomal RNA
Source: RNAcentral